This 353-nucleotide ribosomal RNA is filed under the name uncultured Polaribacter sp. RNAcentral's name for it is "bacterial SSU rRNA". It matches the Rfam family "Bacterial small subunit ribosomal RNA", at positions 373 to 725 of the family's 1533-position model. Lineage: Bacteria; Pseudomonadati; Bacteroidota; Flavobacteriia; Flavobacteriales; Flavobacteriaceae. The record is from RNAcentral.
GGAGGCACUCUGACCAGCCAUGCCGCGUGCAGGAAGACUGCCCUAUGGGUUGUAAACUGCUUUUAUACGGGAAGAAACACUCCUACGUGUAGGGACUUGACGGUACUGUAAGAAUAAGGACCGGCUAACUCCGUGCCAGCAGCCGCGGUAAUACGGAGGGUCCAAGCGUUAUCCGGAAUCAUUGGGUUUAAAGGGUCCGCAGGCGGUCAAUUAAGUCAGAGGUGAAAUCCCAUAGCUUAACUAUGGAACUGCCUUUGAUACUGGUUGACUUGAGUUAUACGGAAGUAGAUAGAAUGUGUAGUGUAGCGGUGAAAUGCAUAGAUAUUACACAGAAUACCGAUUGCGAAGGCAGA